UGUGUGCAUAUGGGCAUGUGUGCAUGUGUGCGUGUGCGUGGCCAGAGAUUGAGGUCAGGUGUCUGCCAGCCAAACUUUCCACCUGGUUUUUUUCAGGUGGGGGCUCAUACUGACUCUGAAAGUCAGAAAGUCAGCUAACCGGCUGGCCACUGCACUUCAGAGUGCUGCCUACCUUUGCUUGGAGAGCCCAUGUUGACAGUGCUUUUGCAGGAAUUCUGGGGAUCGAACUUAGAUCCUCUUGUCUAUUUUCCAGGGACUUUACCAACUGAGCCAUCUGCCAAGCCCCCUGAAAUUUUUUAAAAAUUAAAUCUCAGAGUGAAGAAGGGAUUUCUAAAUGUGAUAGAAAAACAUAAAAUUCAUAAAAUGAAAUAACAAUAAAUUCAAUGACAUAAAAUUAAUUAAAAAAUUUUUCAGUGUACAAUGUACCCUAAGCAAAGUAAAAAAGAAAAAAGAAAAGAGAAGGAAAGGAAAAGAGAAGGAAAGGAAAAGAGAGACACAGUGGCGAUGAUUUCACAGUAGUGUGAAUGAAAAAAAAUAUUUUUCUAAAGAUUUUCAAGUGGAUGAGUGGUUUGCAGGCAUGAGGAGAGAUUAUUAGACCUUCUGAAAUUGACUUACUGAAGUUUGUAAGCCACCAUGUGACCAUGUGGGCGCUGGGAGCUGGGAACCAGACCUGGUCCUCUGCAAGAGCAACAAAUGCUCUUAACUACGGAGCCAUCUCUCCAACCCCGACACUGUGAAUAUAUUAAAUGCCACUCAACUGGACUCUUAAAACAUUUUUAAGUGAUAAAAUUUGUGUUAUGUGUAUUUAGUCACACACUGAAACUCAAAAAAAAAAGAAAGAAAGAAAGG
This 849-nucleotide long non-coding RNA is filed under the name Mus musculus (house mouse). RNAcentral describes it as "long non-coding RNA chr6:134934444-134935293". Lineage: Eukaryota; Metazoa; Chordata; Mammalia; Rodentia; Muridae. The record is from RNAcentral.